UAGGGAAUCUUCCACAAUGGACGAAGGUCUGAUGGAGCAACGCCGCGUGAGUGAAGAAGGGUUUCGGCUCGUAAAACUCUGUUGUUAAAGAAGAACAUAUCUGAGAGUAACUGCUCAGGUAUUGACGGUAUUUAACCAGAAAGCCACGGCUAACUACGUGCAG
Molecule: ribosomal RNA, 163 nt
Filed under: uncultured bacterium
Lineage: Bacteria
Description: partial 16S ribosomal RNA
Rfam family: Bacterial small subunit ribosomal RNA
Source: RNAcentral